RNAcentral lists this unclassified non-coding RNA (459 nucleotides) under Hevea brasiliensis (rubber tree). The record is from RNAcentral. Lineage: Eukaryota; Viridiplantae; Streptophyta; Magnoliopsida; Malpighiales; Euphorbiaceae.
UAUUACUUCAUUAUAUAUAGAAAAAAAAAACAUAGCGGCAAGGAGUACAAAUCUGAAUAUAUGGAACCUGGUAAAAAAAUAGGACAUUGAUAAUCCUAUCAAAAAACUAGGGACUGGUUAAAAAAACAACCUAUAUAAGGUUGUAAUGGCCAAGCCCCUGGGAAUAACAGGCACCACAACAACAGAAAUUUGCUCAAAGCAACUAAAGACUAAAAGACACAUAAUAGAAUACUUACAGUGAAAACACUAAAGACUCUUGAACAUGAAAAAAAACUACACAACUAGUGUCUGAUUCCUGCAAUGUAGCUAAGCACAAAAGAGGCAAAUGCGCGAUGAAUCUUGUCUAUCGCAGUUUUAGCUGAAUGAUUCAAACCGCCUGGCUCUCGAGGAGCAGCAUGAGUGAAAAUUUUAAUCUCAGUACUAGGUGACUGUAUUCUCAGGAGACCAUGGCAUGAUGGA